Biomphalaria glabrata is the source of this 821-nucleotide long non-coding RNA. RefSeq lists it as uncharacterized. NCBI's taxonomy places the organism in Eukaryota, Metazoa, Mollusca, Gastropoda, Planorbidae. The transcript is spliced from 4 exons. The record is from RefSeq and is a predicted model, not a curated record.
UUCACUUUCACAUCACAUUUAUACUUAAAGUGACGAUACUACUUAUAGAUCUACCAGUUGAUAAACAUCAUCAUCAUAGAUAAUAAUCUACAUCUAUAAUCAUAGUGCCCUUUAUUUAGUCAAUAUAGACUUUUUAUAGUCAAGUCAAGGUAGUGGAACGUAAACUCGAAGGUUUAAUACAAUAUGUUAUUAACAAGUAGAACCAUGGCAACCAGUUCUGAUGAUGUACCAGAAUGGCUCAAGGAUCAUACUUAUACUAUUUCUACUCUCUGGGCAUCCAUUCAAUAUUUAAUUUAUGUUUGGAAAUGCAAGAAAAAGGCAUGCAUUCCUGAAAAGUCAAUGAUUGGUUGCACCUCUUAAAGAUAACUUUCUGUUAUGAGAAAAGAUGAGAUUCUUGGACUCCUGCAUAGCACCACCAGAAAGGAAAAUCCCAUCAUGUUGCAAAAUAAAAGUCUUGGACCAAUUUUAAUUUAAGAUAUAUAUAUAUUAUACUGUAAGCUGUAUACAUAUUUAUGUAUAUCCUGUCAUUCAGCCAACAGGUUUGGAUUUAGUAUUUCUUUAAAUCUGUUUGAUAUUGUACUUGAAAACUAUUAAUCUGAGCCCCAUUAAAACAAGAGGGAGUGCAGUGGAUGAGUGGUAAGUGAAAUUUUACUUUUUAAAAAUUAAAAUAAGAAUCUAACAAAAGUAAACAUAUAAAAUAUGGUGCAUUCUCCUUAAAACUAAAACCUGGUGCAAAGGUUUAAAAUGUUGGCAAAAAAAAAAAGCAACAUCAAUUAAAUAUUCUUAAUUCCCUUUGCAAAACUUACUGAGAAGAACAUGCA